This 497-nucleotide ribosomal RNA is filed under the name uncultured bacterium. RNAcentral's name for it is "partial 16S ribosomal RNA". It matches the Rfam family "Bacterial small subunit ribosomal RNA", at positions 28 to 507 of the family's 1533-position model. The record is from RNAcentral.
GAUGAACGCUGGCGGCGUGCCUAAUACAUGCAAGUCGAGCGAACAGAUGAGGAGCUUGCUCCUCUGACGUUAGCGGCGGACGGGUGAGUAACACGUGGAUAACCUACCUAUAAGACUGGGAUAACUUCGGGAAACCGGAGCUAAUACCGGAUAAUAUAUUGAACCGCAUGGUUCAAUAGUGAAAGACGGUUUUGCUGUCACUUAUAGAUGGAUCCGCGCCGCAUUAGCUAGUUGGUAAGGUAACGGCUUACCAAGGCAACGAUGCGUAGCCGACCUGAGAGGAUGAGCACGCACACUGGAAAUGCGGCACGGUGCGGACACCUACGGGAGGCAGCAGUGGGGAAUAUUGGACAAUGGGCGCAAGUCUGAUGCAGCGGUACCGAGGGGGUGAAGAAGGCCUUCGGGUUGUAGAGCCCUGUGGUGGGGAAAGAAAAGCAGCAGGGUAAUACCACGCUGUGCGGACGGUACCGAAAGAAUAAGCACCGGCUAACUUCGUG